RNAcentral lists this ribosomal RNA (477 nucleotides) under uncultured organism. RNAcentral describes it as "partial 16S ribosomal RNA". It matches the Rfam family "Bacterial small subunit ribosomal RNA", at positions 332 to 801 of the family's 1533-position model. The record is from RNAcentral.
UACACUCCUACGGGAGGCAGCAGUGGGGAAUAUUGCACAAUGGGCGCAAGCCUGAUGCAGCCAUGCCGCGUGUAUGAAGAAGGCCUUCGGGUUGUAAAGUACUUUCAGCGGGGAGGAAGGCAAUACGGUUAAUAACCGUGUUGAUUGACGUUACCCGCAGAAGAAGCACCGGCUAACUCCGUGCCAGCAGCCGCGGUAAUACGGAGGGUGCAAGCGUUAAUCGGAAUUACUGGGCGUAAAGCGCACGCAGGCGGUCUGUCAAGUCGGAUGUGAAAUCCCCGGGCUCAACCUGGGAACUGCAUUCGAAACUGGCAGGCUUGAGUCUUGUAGAGGGGGGUAGAAUUCCAGGUGUAGCGGUGAAAUGCGUAGAGAUCUGGAGGAAUACCGGUGGCGAAGGCGGCCCCCUGGACAAAGACUGACGCUCAGGUGCGAAAGCGUGGGGAGCAAACAGGAUUAGAAACCCGAGUAGUCCCAGAU